Glossina fuscipes is the source of this 1449-nucleotide RNA transcript. RefSeq lists it as uncharacterized. NCBI's taxonomy places the organism in Eukaryota, Metazoa, Arthropoda, Insecta, Diptera, Glossinidae. The transcript is spliced from 3 exons. The record is from RefSeq and is a predicted model, not a curated record.
CACAAAAACAAAAAGCGUUACUUAACGGCAAUUUUCAUUGUUUUUGUUCAUUUUCGCGAUCUCCAUUUGCAUUGGACUUGACGUCAAUUGAUUUAAAUCAUUUUAAUAAAUAAAACGACAAAAAGACAGGUGAUAUGUUGUUACCAAAUAGUGGUAAUAAAGUAAUUAUCACACGGAACGAUCUUUUGGUCAUAUCUUGUUAGUUGGUAGUAGAAGAACAUUUCUUUUUACCUUGGUUAGCUGUGAUUUGGAGAAAUCUGUUGAGCAUGUGAGUCUGUCAAGGAGAACCUAGCAGAAAAUACGCAACAACCUUUUGGAGAAAUGCAAAUCCUUGAGGAACGCUUCGUUUUUACAAUACUCUCGUGGUAGUCUAUUGCUUAUAGGAUCCUGCUAUUAUAAGCAACGUCCCAUUGGUAGCGGACGUCUACAACCUAAUAAGUGGUCCGAUAUUUAUUAUAUGGCAUCUCAACAUUAUAAUAACAACAAUUCAGCAGAGACGAAAUAGCGAUUUGGUAUCAACGGAUGGAAAUGAGAACGAAGAAAAAUCGUCUUUUAAGGAUAGACAUGAUAUUGUCACCAAAAACUAUGUGAAACCAGUAAUGUUCGGAUUUUUAGUUGUAUCUAGCUUAAUAUACCGAGAAGCAGAACAAAAACAACAUCUAAGUUUAAUAUAUUCGUUACCGCAAGUGGUGUAGGGUAUAAAAAACACAGAGAGCAAUUGGCACACUCGAGUUUGGCAUUGAAGGGGAAUGCGCUUGUCAAUAGAUGACAUAAGGUAGAUUGCUUCUUCUGUGCGAUAAGAUUUAACCACACAUCCCGAAAACGUUAAAAACACUGAAAUAAAUUGAACUGAACUGCGUGCUACUUUGCUCCUUACAUCUCUUUAUAUAUGGACUUAUGAAAUGAAUGAAAAAAAGAAAUUCGUUCAUCCAUAGCCUCAAAUGAUGAUUUGUUCGUUUCACACGGAAUUCAUAGGCUAUCAGAAAAAUAGACUUUGGAAAAAUGCAAUUGCAAUGGGAACAUGUUAUAUGCAUACGUCAUUAGGAUUGUGGUUUUAUCUUAUGAUGUUUAAAAGCCGUAAACUUUUAUCGUGGACUAUUUGAAUUGUUAAAAUUCGAUGAAGAUUCGGGCGUUGAAGAGGAUAUGUUUCGUAUUAUUAAUCACAUUUUGGAAAAUGAUUGCAAUAUUAUGGUUAUGGAUGACCAAAAUGCGAUAACAGCCGACGUCGACCAUUCAUGUGAUAUAAUCGUAUUAUAAUUGAAAGUUCAUUUGCCAUCGUUUAAGACUAUAAAACGAGUAACCAGAAAGUAGCAUUACUUCUUAAUGUGUUAGGUAUUUAACAGUUUCGAAUGAUGGCCACGAUCAAAAAAGUUUAUUGUCGGAAAAGAACAACGGUAGGCAAGAAAAUUCAAAAUGCUAAUUUGGUAAACAAUUUCUUAUAUUUUCCUG